CACGAACGCUGGCGGCGUGCCUAAUACAUGCAAGUAGAACGCACAGUUUAUACCGUAGCUUGCUACACCAUAAACUGUGAGUUGCGAACGGGUGAGUAACGCGUAGGUAACCUGCCUGGUAGCGGGGGAUAACUAUUGGAAACGAUAGCUAAUACCGCAUAAUAUUAAUUAUUGCAUGAUAAUUGAUUGAAAGAUGCAAUUGCAUCACUACCAGAUGGACCUGCGUUGUAUUAGCUAGUAGGUGAGGUAACGGCUCACCUAGGCGACGAUACAUAGCCGACCUGAGAGGGUGCUCGGCCCCACUGGGACUGAGACACGGCCCAGACUCCUACGGGAGGCAGCAGUAGGGAAUCUUCGGCAAUGGACGAAAGUCUGACCGAGCAACGCCGCGUGAGUGAAGAAGGUUUUCGGAUCGUAAAGCUCUGUUGUAAGAGAAGAACGGGUGUGAGAGUGGAAAGUUCACACUGUGACGGUAUCUUACCAGAAAGGGACGGCUAACUACGUG
Molecule: ribosomal RNA, 505 nt
Filed under: uncultured bacterium
Lineage: Bacteria
Description: partial 16S ribosomal RNA
Rfam family: Bacterial small subunit ribosomal RNA
Source: RNAcentral